RNAcentral lists this ribosomal RNA (253 nucleotides) under uncultured bacterium. Its description in RNAcentral is "partial 16S ribosomal RNA". It matches the Rfam family "Bacterial small subunit ribosomal RNA", at positions 524 to 776 of the family's 1533-position model. The record is from RNAcentral.
UACAGAGGGUGCGAGCGUUGUUCGGAAUUAUUGGGCGUAAAGGGCGCGUAGGCGGUGCGGUAAGUCACCUGUGAAAUCUCCUGGCUCAACUGGGAGCUUGCAGGCGAAACUGCCGUGCUGGAGUGUGGGAGAGGUGCGUGGAAUUCCUGGUGUAGCGGUGAAAUGCGUAGAUAUCAGGAGGAACACCUGUGGCGAAAGCGGCGCACUGGACCGCAACUGACGCUGAGGCGCGAAAGCUAGGGGAGCAAACAGG